AUUGAACGCUGGCGGCAGGCCUAACACAUGCAAGUCGAGCGGUAGAGAGGUGCUUGCACCUCUUGAGAGCGGCGGACGGGUGAGUAAUGCCUAGGAAUCUGCCUGGUAGUGGGGGAUAAC
This 120-nucleotide ribosomal RNA is filed under the name uncultured bacterium. RNAcentral describes it as "partial 16S ribosomal RNA". It matches the Rfam family "Bacterial small subunit ribosomal RNA", at positions 30 to 147 of the family's 1533-position model. The record is from RNAcentral.